This 88-nucleotide transfer RNA is filed under the name Eggerthella sp. CAG:298. Its description in RNAcentral is "transfer RNA-Ser(TGA)". It matches the Rfam family "tRNA". Rfam says of the family: Transfer RNA (tRNA) molecules are approximately 80 nucleotides in length. Lineage: Bacteria; Bacillati; Actinomycetota; Coriobacteriia; Eggerthellales; Eggerthellaceae. The record is from RNAcentral. RNAcentral also lists the same sequence under 5 other names.
GGAGGAAUGGCUGAGCGGUUGAAAGCGGCGGUCUUGAAAACCGUUGUACCGAGAGGUACCGUGGGUUCGAAUCCUACUUCCUCCGCCA